UGUAUAAUGGGUCAGCGACUUAUAUUCUGUAGCAAGGUUAACCGAAUAGGGGAGCCGAAGGGAAACCGAGUCUUAACUGGGCGUUAAGUUGCAGGGUAUAGACCCGAAACCCGGUGAUCUAGCCAUGGGCAGGUUGAAGGUUGGGUAACACUAACUGGAGGACCGAACCGACUAAUGUUGAAAAAUUAGCGGAUGACUUGUGGCUGGGGGUGAAAGGCCAAUCAAACCGGGAGAUAGCUGGUUCUCCCCGAAAGCUAUUUAGGUAGCGCCUCGUGAAUUCAUCUCCGGGGGUAGAGCACUGUUUCGGCAAGGGGGUCAUCCCGACUUACCAACCCGAUGCAAACUGCGAAUACCGGAGAAUGUUAUCACGGGAGACACACGGCGGGUGCUAACGUCCGUCGUGAAGAGGGAAACAACCCAGACCGCCAGCUAAGGUCCCAAAGUCAUGGUUAAGUGGGAAACGAUGUGGGAAGGCCCAGACAGCCAGGAUGUUGGCUUAGAAGCAGCCAUCAUUUAAAGAAAGCGUAAUAGCUCACUGGUCGAGUCGGCCUGCGCGGAAGAUGUAACGGGGCUAAACCAUGCACCGAAGCUGCGGCAGCGACACUGUGUGUUGUUGGGUAGGGGAGCGUUCUGUAAGCCUGUGAAG
RNAcentral lists this ribosomal RNA (646 nucleotides) under Escherichia coli. Its description in RNAcentral is "partial 23S ribosomal RNA". It matches the Rfam family "Bacterial large subunit ribosomal RNA", at positions 609 to 1255 of the family's 2925-position model. The record is from RNAcentral. Lineage: Bacteria; Pseudomonadati; Pseudomonadota; Gammaproteobacteria; Enterobacterales; Enterobacteriaceae.